CUCCUACGGGAGGCAGCAGUGGGGAAUAUUGGGCAAUGGGCGCAAGCCUGACCCAGCAACGCCGCGUGAAGGAAGAAGGCUUUCGGGUUGUAAACUUCUUUUCUCAGGGACGAAGAAAGUGACGGUACCUGAGGAAUAAGCCACGGCUAACUACGUGCCAGCAGCCGCGGUAAUACGUAGGCGGCAAGCGUUAUCCGGAUUUACUGGGUGUAAAGGGCGUGUAGGCGGGAAAGCAAGUCAGAUGUGAAAACCACGGGCUCAACCUGUGGCCUGCAUUUGAACUUGGUUUUCUUGAGUAAUGGAGG
RNAcentral lists this ribosomal RNA (305 nucleotides) under uncultured bacterium. Its description in RNAcentral is "bacterial SSU rRNA". It matches the Rfam family "Bacterial small subunit ribosomal RNA", at positions 336 to 655 of the family's 1533-position model. The record is from RNAcentral.